Molecule: ribosomal RNA, 296 nt
Filed under: uncultured bacterium
Lineage: Bacteria
Description: partial 16S ribosomal RNA
Rfam family: Bacterial small subunit ribosomal RNA
Source: RNAcentral
UUUAUCCUACGGGAGGCAGCAGUGGGGGAUAUUGCACAAUGGAGGAAACUCUGAUGCAGCGACGCCGCGUGAGGGAAGACGGUCUUCGGAUUGUAAACCUCUGUCUUUGGGGAAGAAAAUGACGGUACCCAAAGAGGAAGCUCCGGCUAACUACGUGCCAGCAGCCGCGGUAAUACGUAGGGAGCGAGCGUUGUCCGGAAUUACUGGGUGUAAAGGGAGCGUAGGCGGUCGAGAAAGUUGAAUGUUAAAUCUACCGGCUUAACUGGUAGCUGCGUUCAAAAUUUCUUGUCUUUAGU